UCUAAGUGAUUAAAUAUAAUUUAAAUUCCGUUUGUUUCAGGCUUCUUAUGCCUAAAUUUUGUACUGCUCAUUUCUAUCUUUAAAUUACAACUGGUUUUACUACUGUCGGAAGAGGUCGCUAGUAAAAUUCUUAAAACACUUUAUUUCACAGCCUAUAACAUAAGUUGAACUUUGAGGAUUACUUUUAAGGCUCUAACAUGCCAAUACAUUCUUAUGCUUUAAAGGUUACCUAUUAUACAGAAGUCUGAAAGUAGAUGGUACUUUCAUUGACCUCUGGCAUCACAAAU
Molecule: long non-coding RNA, 287 nt
Organism: Aricia agestis (brown argus)
Lineage: Eukaryota; Metazoa; Arthropoda; Insecta; Lepidoptera; Lycaenidae
Exons: 2
Source: RefSeq, a predicted model, not a curated record